This 274-nucleotide ribosomal RNA is filed under the name uncultured bacterium. Its description in RNAcentral is "partial 16S ribosomal RNA". It matches the Rfam family "Bacterial small subunit ribosomal RNA", at positions 523 to 796 of the family's 1533-position model. The record is from RNAcentral.
AUACGGAGGUUGCAAGCGUUAUCCGGAAUCAUUGGGUUUAAAGGGUCCGCAGGCGGACUAAUAAGUCAGUGGUGAAAUCCUCUCGCUUAACGAGAGAACUGCCAUUGAAACUGUUAGUCUUGAAUUCGGUCGAAGUAGGCGGAAUGUGUCAUGUAGCGGUGAAAUGCAUAGAUAUGACACAGAACACCGAUAGCGAAGGCAGCUUACUAGACCUGGAUUGACGCUCAUGGACGAAAGCGUGGGGAGCGAACAGGAUUAGAAACCCUUGUAGUCC